GAUGAACGCUAGCUACAGGCUUAACACAUGCAAGUCGAGGGGAAACGAUGAGAGAGCUUGCUCUCUUAGUCGUCGACCGGCGCACGGGUGAGUAACGCGUAUCCAACCUGCCUCUGACCAAGGGAUAACCCGUCGAAAGUCGGACUAAUACCUUAUGCAGUCGUCGGAAGUCAUCUGAUGACGACGAAAGAUUUCAUCGGUGAGAGAUGGGGAUGCGUCUGAUUAGCUUGUUGGCGGGGUAACGGCCCACCAAGGCGACGAUCAGUAGGGGUUCUGAGAGGAAGGUCCCCCACAUUGGAACUGAGACACGGUCCAAACUCCUACGGGAGGCAGCAGUGAGGAAUAUUGGUCAAUGGGCGUAAGCCUGAACCAGCCAAGUAGCGUGCAGGAUGACGGCCCUAUGGGUUGUAAACUGCUUUUAUGCGGGGAUAAAGUGAGGGACGUGUCCUUCAUUGCAGGUACCGCAUGAAUAAGAACCGGCUAAUUCCGUG
RNAcentral lists this ribosomal RNA (491 nucleotides) under uncultured bacterium. RNAcentral describes it as "partial 16S ribosomal RNA". It matches the Rfam family "Bacterial small subunit ribosomal RNA", at positions 28 to 507 of the family's 1533-position model. The record is from RNAcentral.